Ribosomal RNA from Carassius auratus (goldfish), 121 nucleotides. The record is from Ensembl. NCBI's taxonomy places the organism in Eukaryota, Metazoa, Chordata, Actinopteri, Cypriniformes, Cyprinidae.
GCUUACGGCCAUUACCAACCUGGCUAUGCCCGAUCUCGUCUGGAUCUCGGAAGCUAAGCAGGUUUGGGCCUGGUUAGUACUUGGAUGGGAGACCGCCUGGGAAUACCAGGUGCUGUAAGCU